This 253-nucleotide ribosomal RNA is filed under the name uncultured bacterium. RNAcentral describes it as "partial 16S ribosomal RNA". It matches the Rfam family "Bacterial small subunit ribosomal RNA", at positions 524 to 776 of the family's 1533-position model. The record is from RNAcentral.
UACGAAGGGUGCAAGCGUUACUCGGAAUUACUGGGCGUAAAGCGUGCGUAGGUGGUUCGUUAAGUCUGAUGUGAAAGCCCUGGGCUCAACCUGGGGAUGGCAUUGGAUACUGGCGACCUAGAGUGCGGUAGAGGGUAGCGGAAUUCCCGGUGUAGCAGUGAAAUGCGUAGAUAUCGGGAGGAACAUCCGUGGCGAAGGCGGCUACCUGGACCAGCACUGACACUGAGGCACGAAAGCGUGGGGAGCAAACAGG